Astatotilapia calliptera (eastern happy) is the source of this 399-nucleotide long non-coding RNA. Lineage: Eukaryota; Metazoa; Chordata; Actinopteri; Cichliformes; Cichlidae. The record is from Ensembl.
ACAGUAGUGAUGUGACGUUCUGUAUCAAGGCGGGGGCGUUUCCGCGAUGCGCGUAUCGAGGCUUGCUUCAUUUAUGGGAGGAGCUGAAAAUGAUGACGUCCGAAGCCUCACUGCCCAGCUGUACCACGUGACUGGUUCAUGAAGUGGUUCGAACUUUGCCGCGAGCUAUGACAGCGAUAUAAACCCCUCAGACUUCAUUCAAAAUAAGCCGCUGGAGAGGACGCGGAGACCACGGUAAAAAGCUUCAUCAAAACCCACCUGAAGCUGCCGGAGGACACUGUGAAGAACAUCGUCUUCGAUCGGGUACAUCGCCUCGGCCCCAUUCGGGCUACGGCCGGGAGACCACGUCCUAUCGUGGCCAAAUUCGGCCACUUCAAACAAAAGCAACAUGUGAAAAGC